This 1080-nucleotide non-coding RNA is filed under the name Anopheles gambiae (African malaria mosquito). RNAcentral's name for it is "Eukaryotic small subunit ribosomal RNA". It matches the Rfam family "Eukaryotic small subunit ribosomal RNA", at positions 1 to 940 of the family's 1831-position model. The record is from Rfam by way of RNAcentral. Lineage: Eukaryota; Metazoa; Arthropoda; Insecta; Diptera; Culicidae.
AUUCUGGUUGAUCCUACCAGUGAUAUACGCUCGUCUCAAAGGUUAAGCCAUGCAUGUCUAAGUACAAGCUUCCUAGAAAGUGAAACCGCAUAAGGCUCAGUAUAACAGCUAUAAUUUACAAGAUCCUCAUCCAAACAGUUACUUGGAUAACUGUGGAAAAGCCAGAGCUAAUACAUGCAUUAUGCCGGGACUGUUGGCCUCCGGGUCGGCGGAACUGGUGCACUUAUUAGUUAAACCAAUCGCCUCCGGGCGCUUUGAGUUGAAAUCUGGAUAAGGAUGCCGAUCGUACGGUCGCUUGCGACUGACGACAGAUCUUUCAAAUGUCUGCCCUAUCAACUAUUGAUGGUAGUGUAGAGGACUACCAUGGUUGCGACGGGUAACGGGGAAUCAGGGUUCGAUUCCGGAGAGGGAGCCUGAGAAAUGGCUACCACAUCCAAGGAAGGCAGCAGGCGCGUAAAUUACCCAAUCCCGGCACGGGGAGGUAGUGACGAGAAAUAACAAUAUGGACCUCUCUAACGAUGGUCCAUAAUUGGAAUGAGUUGAGCAUAAAUCCUUUUGCAAGGAUCAAGUGGAGGGCAAGUCUGGUGCCAGCAGCCGCGGUAAUUCCAGCUCCCACUAGCCGUAUAUUAAAGUUGUUGCGGUUAAAACGUUCGAAGUUGAUACCCCCGUCCAGACUCGCGUCCGUCGCGGGCGCCCGGCCUCUCGGUUGGGACCGUCCGUGUACGCGCUCGCGGCUGCGACUCACAAUGGUGUACCUGGGCGUUCUACUCCGUGACGGGUCAGGACUUGUCGCCGCGACCUCGUCGGUCAAGGUCUUGUUCGACCCAGCUUCAUGGUGCCCGGGAACUCUCGUUUACCUUGAACAAAUUAGAGUGCUCAAAGCAGGCUAGUUCAAAGCGUCCGGUCCUCCGGGGCCGGCGUUGGCCGAGAAUAAUUUUGCAUGGAAUAAUGGAACAUGACCUCGGUCUGAGUGGUUUCGUUGGUUUGUAAUAGACCAAGAGGUAAUGAUUAACAGAAGUAGUCGGGGGCAUUGGUAUUACGGCGCGAGAGGUGAAAUUCGUAGACCGUCGUAGGACCCAC